UACGGGGGGAGCAAGCGUUGUUCGGAUUUACUGGGCGUAAAGGGCGCGUAGGCGGCCACCGCAAGUCGACUGUGAAAUCUCCGGGCUUAACCCGGAACGGUCAGCCGAUACUGCGGGGCUAGAGUGCAGAAGGGGCAACUGGAAUUCUCGGUGUAGCGGUGAAAUGCGUAGAUAUCGAGAGGAACACCUGCGGCGAAGGCGGGUUGCUGGGCUGACACUGACGCUGAGGCGCGAAAGCUAGGGGAGCGAACGGG
Molecule: ribosomal RNA, 254 nt
Filed under: uncultured bacterium
Lineage: Bacteria
Also listed under: 1 other name
Description: partial 16S ribosomal RNA
Rfam family: Bacterial small subunit ribosomal RNA
Source: RNAcentral